RNAcentral lists this long non-coding RNA (1777 nucleotides) under Sus scrofa (pig). RNAcentral's name for it is "lncRNA (ENSSSCG00055003725.1)". Lineage: Eukaryota; Metazoa; Chordata; Mammalia; Artiodactyla; Suidae. The record is from RNAcentral.
GGCAGCCAGCUCCCCGCAGGUACCCGGGGAAAGGAGAGUGGAGGGCAAGGCAAGCGUCAGGUAGUUAACACCCCCAACAGGCUUUCCAGGGACAGACAGGCAGUAACACAGUGACAGGGGAGAGGUGUGGAUGCUCCAGUCACUUUCCAUCAGCACAGGAUAUCGCUUUCGAUCUUCCUCAUUCCUGUCGUGAUCCUUGUACCAAAAUGUCUUUUCUGCAACUUCAGAGCGUUGUGUAAUUUCUAAUUCAUAUCAGAGGCUGUCUUGAGGUUGGCCGCCCUGAGUUGCGUUUGUAAAGACUCCUUUCCCAGUGAAAGAAUGUGCGUUUUCCCAGCUUUGUCAACAUGGGAUGGAUACAGGUAUCUGGGUCACUUGCUUGCGCCAGUGGCCUAGGUGGGGAGGACAUUAAUAAACCCUGGCCUCAAAUGCAAAUCUUACCCAAGAAAAAUAAGAAUGGCCAUGAGAAUGAAAAAAGAUAGCCGCCUCCUCUCGCUCAUCUGCCGCUCGGUCUACAUCAGGUUCACGGAUCGUCUCCCCAACAGUGUUUUUGUUCUUUCUUCUCGUCCCCAGGUCGGAAGAUAUAAUUUACAGCCUCCAGAAGUCUCGCCGAGCCUGAUUGGAUGGUGUCCAGCUUUGCCGGAAUCAGGGAGGGAGAAGGGCAGCCCUGCCAAUGAGGGGCGAGACCGAUUAAAAGGGCCUCACCGGUGGAAUAUAAUCCCUCCUCUGUACUCACUGGUGACCAGCCACGGUUGUCUUUCAAAGGACACCACGGGUUAGCCCAAGAUGAAGACAAGACGGAGAGGCGGCUGGGCCCCAGGCGGGUGUGACAGCCCACGGGGGGACAGGAUGCAACCGUGACUGCCUACAUGCAGGACCCAUCAGCCCCGAGAGCCCUGAAACUCCCCAAGGGAGCGGAGUGCCAAAGGCCCCCAAACUGACCAAAGUCACCGGCCCUGGUCCUGCAUCCGGUGGGGACUUCCGGCGUCUUCCUCGCAGCCUCGGACAGCCUGUUGGCUUUGGAUGCACGCCUUGCUUUCCAGUGAGCAUCCCGCCCCUUUGCCGCCCCAACACAGUGUGCAUGAGGCAAGCGUGAGGCUUCUAAGUGAACCUGGGAGUCAGCAACAGGUAGGACCGAAUCGGCCCUUCACUCGGCGUAUGCGUGGCCAUCCAGAGACAACCCCCACCCCAGGACCCCUGCGGGAGGUGCCUGUGGGAGUAGACAGGGUCUGGAGUUGCUCUCAUUUUCCGAAAUGGUUGCUCCAUCCCUGAAGAACGAAAGAAUCCCGGGCAGUGGUCAAAUGGAAACAUAUCUCUUUAGCGAGAUGUCUGAAAGGCAGGAACAAGGAGGGGAGGGAUUUCACUUCUCUGAAGGCCUUCCUUCUUCCCUUCCUCGAAGCGCAGAUAUAGGUGGAUGCAUGCAGACUGACUUUUCUCUGCAAUUAAGCACGGCGGUGGCCAGGAAAACGGGAGCGUGGGGGUGGGGGCGGGGCACACCCAGCCUUCGGUCCUCACUGUUGUCCCUUGUUAAACGUGGGGUCUGCGAGAGCCGACUGCUCAGGUAAGGGCAGUGCAGAGAACAGGAUGCCCCAAGCAACCCAUAAAUAGCAGGGCGAAGACAAAGUGUUUAUUACCUGGCCUCGCGAAGCCCGUAUAAAUGCUCUCCCAGGGUGCGAGAGAGGGGAGCAUGUGUGAGCCGGCCCGCCUGCGUCCCGGGAACGGGAGUCCCAGACCCCGCUGUUCGCGCUUGGCUUGAUUCUAUGAAGGCGUCUAUUUGAUG